GUCAGGAUGGCCGAGCGGUCUAAGGCGCCAGACUCAAGGAUUCCUUGCCUGUAACUCAGGUCGUGUGAGCGUUCUGGUCCUCUUUGAGGGCGUGGGUUCGAAUCCCACUUCUGACA
Non-coding RNA from Henosepilachna vigintioctopunctata, 116 nucleotides. Lineage: Eukaryota; Metazoa; Arthropoda; Insecta; Coleoptera; Coccinellidae. The record is from the annotation of a GenBank genome assembly.